GUCAGUCCUCAUCUGCAGUGAUGACAGUAGUAGGUGGAACAUGCCUGUCCUUGGGCAACAGGGCAGUGCACGUGCCAGCACCAAGUGGUUCCAGGUAGGCUGAUUCUUGGGCCUCCAGAUGGCUUACUCAGGUGAAGACAGCAGCAGCAGCAGCAAGGGGCCAGGCAGGCUGGUGGGCCCUUGGGACCCUGGACAGCAGGCAUGGUAUGAGUGAUGGCAGUAGUAGUGGCAGGAAAACCCUCUGCCUCCCCAGCUGUCUGUACUGGUGUUGGUGGGGGCUGUGAUGUGCUGGGUGGGCCAGUCCCCAGGCCCACAGGUGGUGCAUACAGGUGGGUUCCAGCUGUGAUGAUAGCCGCAGGCUGGGUGGGUCUAUCCUUAGGCCCUUGUUAAGAGUACUCAGGUGCCAACAGUAGUGGAUGGGGUGGGGCAAUCCCCAGUCCACUGAACAGCAUGCUUGAGCACUAGGGGGCAUGGAGCCAGGCUGGAUGGGUCUGUCUUUGGGGCUCCCAGUGGCGCAUAUGGGCAAGGGCUGUGGCGGGCAGAGCUGGGUGAUCGCCAACCCCCCAGUGUAGUGCUCAGGUGAUAGUGGCAGUGGUGGAUGGGGAAGCCUGUCCCAGUGUGCAUGCAAGUGGCUGCAGCCCUGCUGAUGGGAAAGUGAGGUUGCUGUCAGUGGCAGCAGCUGUAGGCAGGCAGUUGAGGAGCUUGUGUUUUGGCCACAGGUGGGGCUGUGGGUGUGGGAGCUUGUCCUCAGUUCAUAUGUAAACGCACAGCAGCACCAUUGCUGGGGCUGGCAGGGUUGUUGCCCACGGCUUGCUUUUCAGCCCAGUGGCAGCAGCCAGCAACGGUGGUGGCUGUAGAAGUUUACGAAGACAAAAGAGGAAUGACGACUCAGCAUAUUGUAAUUAUCCAGUUGAUAUUUAUCUUGUUCCAGUCACCUUUAGAAAGCUGUUUGGUGAGUACAAUGUUAAUAUAGAGACAAUCAGAAUGGUGUGUGCUUUUGUACAAAACUUGUGGAUCCAUCAAUGAGGCAUCUGCCAUUUUUUCUUUCUUCCCCUCUAUAUUACAAGUUCUGGAAUGCCUGUUCUAAUUCUCCAAGGAGAAUUAGAAAAUAAAAGGCAGAGUCUAGAGCCAUGUCAAUAUCCUCCCACAGAAUGUGUAUGGAGAAUAUUCCACUGGGAACCAUGAUAGAUAAAAACUUACCAGGAAGAGCAAAACAUCAAGAGAGUCUGACAAAAGCUCUGCCCUCCUCUGUAACCCAGCAGCCUCUGCAGAAUCAUCCUUUCUUCAUUGUUUUAAAAUGUUGUUAAAUACCUUGUCAGUUGCUUUAAAGGGACCCAGACCCAUUCUGAUAUUUUUACAAAAUAAAUCCAGUCUUUGGGUAAAGGUAUAGUAAUACUAUCCAUGGAUCUGAUGUUGAGUCGUGGAGGCUUCAAGCUCUGAAGAAGUAUGAACUAAUUCUAAACAGUGAUUAAGCAAUUAUUAUUUUCAUUUUACUAAUGACAUGACUUCUAGAGUUGGAGUGUCAGAAUAUUCUCUUGGAAGAAAAGGAUGCAAGUGUAGACACCUCAUCACUAGGUCCAAUCCACCUCACAGUGCUACUUUCAGUUUUGUAAAAAUUGGUCACGGCAACAAGUUUGAAAUAAUAGGUUCACUCUCAAACUGGCAACAAGCACGUGAUUGAGCUGCAUGAAUCUGGAAAGGCUUGUCAAACAAAACAGGCUGGUUCACAGCUGAAAGAAAAAAAAUACUUCUGGCAUUGUACUAAAUUCAGAAACCGUAUCCGACAAGGGGCUGAGCUGAGGUUGUGGUAUGGCCCCAGUCCUAGGAUUGGUCCCACCUACUUUGCCUAGUUCCUGACCACAUCUGGUAAUUCAGUGGUGAUGUGAUUAUGACAUUAACAGUGAUAGGUUUCCCCUGCUUAGCUGCUUAUUUGAUUGUGGAUAAUGUGUGAAUGGGGGCAGGAGAGGCAGUGGUUGGGCGCUGAUGUGUUAAUGAAUCCCAUGUCUCAAUAAUUAACACAUCUUCUGGAUAGCUUUGCAAAAAUGCAAUCU
RNAcentral lists this long non-coding RNA (2051 nucleotides) under Homo sapiens (human). RNAcentral describes it as "HSALNT0301900". The record is from RNAcentral. Lineage: Eukaryota; Metazoa; Chordata; Mammalia; Primates; Hominidae.